ACCGGGUGUGGUGGCGCGCGCCUGUAAUCCGCGCUCAUGGAGGCUGAGGAUGGAGGAUGGUUGGAGCUCAGGAGCUCUGAGCUGCAGUGGACUGUGCUGAUCGGGUGUCCGCACUCAGUUCGGUAUCGAUAUGGUCUUUCUGGGGGAGCUUGGGGAGACCAGGUCGUCUAAGGAGGGGUGAACCGGCCCAGGCCGGAAAC
This 200-nucleotide small RNA is filed under the name Oryzias sinensis (Chinese medaka). RNAcentral describes it as "Metazoan signal recognition particle RNA (ENSOSIG00000014376.1)". It matches the Rfam family "Metazoan signal recognition particle RNA", at positions 1 to 201 of the family's 299-position model. From Rfam's summary of the family: The signal recognition particle (SRP) is a universally conserved ribonucleoprotein. It is involved in the co-translational targeting of proteins to membranes. The record is from Rfam by way of RNAcentral. Lineage: Eukaryota; Metazoa; Chordata; Actinopteri; Beloniformes; Adrianichthyidae.